RNAcentral lists this ribosomal RNA (147 nucleotides) under Escherichia coli. RNAcentral describes it as "partial 16S ribosomal RNA". It matches the Rfam family "Bacterial small subunit ribosomal RNA", at positions 1 to 139 of the family's 1533-position model. The record is from RNAcentral. Lineage: Bacteria; Pseudomonadati; Pseudomonadota; Gammaproteobacteria; Enterobacterales; Enterobacteriaceae.
UUAAAUUGAAGAGUUUGAUCAUGGCUCAGAUUGAACGCUGGCGGCAGGCCUAACACAUGCAAGUCGAACGGUAACAGAAAGAAGCUUGCUUCUUUGCUGACGAGUGGCGGACGGGUGAGUAAUGUCUGGGAAACUGCCUGAUGGAGG